This is a long non-coding RNA of Erinaceus europaeus (western European hedgehog), 366 nucleotides long. RefSeq lists it as uncharacterized. The record is from RefSeq and is a predicted model, not a curated record. NCBI's taxonomy places the organism in Eukaryota, Metazoa, Chordata, Mammalia, Eulipotyphla, Erinaceidae. The transcript has 6 exons.
UGGAUGCAGGAGGUGUAGACAGUGUGUGUGUGUGGAUGCAGGCAGGAGGUGUAGACUGUGUGGAUGCAGGCAGGAGGUGUAGACAGUGUGUGUGGAUGCAGGCAGGAGGUGUAGACAGUGUGUGUGUGUGUGUGGAUGCAGGCAGGAGGUGUAGACAGUGUGUGUGGAUGCAGGCAGGAGGUGUAGACAGUGUGUGUGUGUGGAUGCAGGCAGGAGGUGUAGACAGUGUGUGUGGAUGCAGGCAGGAGGUGUAGACAGUGUGUGUGGAUGCAGGCAGGAGGUGUAGACUGUGUGUGUGGAUGCAGGCAGGAGGUGUAGACAGUGUGUGUGGAUGCAGGCAGGAGGUGUAGACAGUGUGUGUGGAUG